GUGAAUUUAGUUUAGUUGGUAGGCAUAUUGUAUUUUAUAUGCAGAGGUCGGGGUUCGAAUCCCGGACACUUCAUU
This 75-nucleotide transfer RNA is filed under the name Medicago truncatula (barrel medic). RNAcentral's name for it is "sRNA gene45664". Lineage: Eukaryota; Viridiplantae; Streptophyta; Magnoliopsida; Fabales; Fabaceae. The record is from RNAcentral.